AUACGGAAGGUCCGAGCGUUAUCCGGAUUUAUUGGGUUUAAAGGGUGCGUAGGCGGGAUGGUAAGUCAGCUGUGAAAGUCUGCGGCUCAACCGUAGAAUUGCAGUUGAUACUGUCGUCCUUGAGUGCAGAGGGGGUAGGCGGAAUUCGUCGUGUAGCGGUGAAAUGCGUAGAUAUGACGAAGAACACCGAUUGCGUAGGCAGCUUACCAUAGUGCAACUGACGCUGAGGCACGAAAGUGUGGGUAUCAAACAGGAUUAGAUACCCUGGUAGUCCACACGGUAAACGAUGAAUGCUAGCUGUUUGCGAUAGACUGCAAGCGGCCGAGCGAAAGCAUUAAGCAUUCCACCUGGGGAGUACGCCGGCAACGGUGAAACUCAAAGGAAUUGACGGGG
RNAcentral lists this ribosomal RNA (393 nucleotides) under uncultured bacterium. RNAcentral describes it as "partial 16S ribosomal RNA". It matches the Rfam family "Bacterial small subunit ribosomal RNA", at positions 523 to 918 of the family's 1533-position model. The record is from RNAcentral.